Molecule: ribosomal RNA, 279 nt
Filed under: uncultured bacterium
Lineage: Bacteria
Description: partial 16S ribosomal RNA
Rfam family: Bacterial small subunit ribosomal RNA
Source: RNAcentral
UGCCAGCCGCCGCGGUAAUACGGAGGGGGUUAGCGUUGUUCGGAAUUACUGGGCGUGAAGCGCACGUAGGCGGAUUAGAAAGUUAGAGGUGAAAUCCCAGGGCUCAACUGUAGCAUUGCCUUUGAUACUGUUAGACUUGAGUUAUUGUGAAGUAGUUAGAAUGUGUAGUGUAGCGGCGAAAUGCAUAGAUAUUACAUAGAAUACCGAUUGCGAAGGCAGAUUACUAACAAUAUACUGACGCUGAGGGACGAAAGCGUGGGUAGCGAACAGGAUUAGAUA